GCGGAGGAAAAGAAACCAACAGGGAUUGCCUUAGUAACGGCGAGUGAAGCGGCAACAGCUCAAAUUUGAAAGCUGGCUCCUUUGGAGUCCGCGUUGUAAUUUGUAGAGGAUGAUUCGGCAAGGGCUCCCGCCUAAGUCUCCUGGAACGGAGCGUCAUAGAGGGUGAGAAUCCCGUAUGCGGUGGGCUGCCUGAGCCAUGUGAAUCUCCUUCGACGAGUCGAGUUGUUUGGGAAUGCAGCUCUAAAUGGGAGGUAAAUUUCUUCUAAAGCUAAAUACCGGCCAGAGACCGAUAGCGCACAAGUAGAGUGAUCGAAAGAUGAAAAGCACUUUGGAAAGAGAGUUAAAAAGUACGUGAAAUUGUUGAAAGGGAAGCGCUUGCAGCCAGACUUGUCCGCAGUUGCUCAGCCGGUCUCCUGACCGGUGUACUCUUCUGCGGCCAGGCCAGCAUCAGUUCGGGCGGUCGGAUAAAGACCUCGGGAAUGUAGCUCCUCUCGGGGAGUGUUAUAGCCCGGGGUGGAAUGCGGCCAGCCUGGACUGAGGAUCUCGCUUCGGCUAGGAUGCUGGCGUAAUGGCUGUAAGCGGCCCGUCUUGAAACACGGACCAAGGAGUCUAACAUCUAUGCGAGUGUUUGGGUGUCAAACCCAUGCGCGUAAUGAAAGUGAACGGAGGUGGGAACCCUCACGGGUGCACCAUCGACCGAUCCUGAUGUCUUCGGAUGGAUUUGAGUAAGAGCAUAGCUGUUGGGACCCGAAAGAUGGUGAACUAUGCCUGAAUAGGGUGAAGCCAGAGGAAACUCUGGUGGAGGCUCGCAGCGGUUCUGACGUGCAAAUCGAUCGUCAAAUUUGGGUAUAGGGGCGAAAGACUAAUCGA
Molecule: small RNA, 870 nt
Filed under: Botryosphaeria dothidea
Lineage: Eukaryota; Fungi; Ascomycota; Dothideomycetes; Botryosphaeriales; Botryosphaeriaceae
Description: eukaryotic LSU rRNA
Rfam family: Eukaryotic large subunit ribosomal RNA
Source: RNAcentral